This 553-nucleotide small RNA is filed under the name Pongo abelii (Sumatran orangutan). RNAcentral describes it as "retained intron". Lineage: Eukaryota; Metazoa; Chordata; Mammalia; Primates; Hominidae. The record is from RNAcentral.
GUGCGCGGUGACUGGCGGCUGCACUGGCGGCAGCUGGAGGUGUAAUAGUGCGGGUAGUGGGUUUGGAGAAGUUCCGAGGUGGCGGUGGCGCCGGUCAGGACAAGGAUAGCGGAAGCGGGCCCUGGGCUUGUCGCUCACCAUGCCGACGGUGGAGGAGCUUUACCGCAAUUAUGGCAUCCUGGCCGAUGCCACGGAGCAAGUGGGCCAGCAUAAAGAUGCCUAUCAAGUGAUAUUGGAUGGUGUGAAAGGUGGUACUAAGGAAAAACGAUUAGCAGCUCAAUUUAUUCCGAAAUUCUUUAAGCAUUUUCCAGAAUUGGCCGAUUCUGCUAUCAAUGCACAGUUAGACCUCUGUGAGGAUGAAGAUGUAUCUGUAAGUUUAUGAAUGACACUUUAUAGCAAUCUUUCAGAUGUUUCUGUGUGUGGCUAAUACAAUUGGAGUAGCAAUCUGAUAUGUCAGAGUACACAAUAAAAUACUACAGUAUGGUCUGGCAUGGCAUCACACCCAGGCUUAAAUUUACAUAUGAUAAAGUGUAUUAGCCUUUUUCAACACCUU